GAUGAACGCUGGCGGCGUGCCUAAUACAUGCAAGUCGAGCGAACAGACGAGGAGCUUGCUCCUCUGACGUUAGCGGCGGACGGGUGAGUAACACGUGGAUAACCUACCUAUAAGACUGGGAUAACUUCGGGAAACCGGGGCUAAUACCGGAUAAUAUAGUGAACCGCAUGGUUCAAUAGUGAAAGACGGUUUUGCUGUCACUUAUAGAUAGAUCCGCGCCGCAUUAGCUAGUUGGUAAGGUAACGGCUUACCAAGGCAACGAUGCGUAGCCGACCUGAGAGGGUGAUCGGCCACCCUGGAACUGAGACACGGUCAAUACUCCUGAGGGAGGCAGCAGUAGGGAAUCUUCCGCAAUGGGCGAAAGCCUGACGGAGCAACGCCGCGUGAGUGAUGAAGGUCUUCGGAUCGUAAAACUCUGUUAUUAGGGAAGAACAAAUGUGUAAGUAACUAUGCACGUAUUGACGGUACCUAAUCAGAAAGCCACGGCUAACUACGUG
Molecule: ribosomal RNA, 497 nt
Filed under: uncultured bacterium
Lineage: Bacteria
Description: partial 16S ribosomal RNA
Rfam family: Bacterial small subunit ribosomal RNA
Source: RNAcentral